RNAcentral lists this microRNA precursor (65 nucleotides) under Octopus vulgaris (common octopus). RNAcentral's name for it is "Ovu-Mir-36-P14_pre stem-loop". The record is from RNAcentral. Lineage: Eukaryota; Metazoa; Mollusca; Cephalopoda; Octopoda; Octopodidae.
GGAUGAUGUCUGCCCGGGAGGUGUGUGCAGUUAACUUUAUCAUCACCGGGUGAACAUUCAUUCGC